GGAGGGGGAGGAGGGGAGGAACCUGAUCUCUCCGGUAGCGAAGGGCUGGAGGCAAACACCGAGCUCCCCCAGAGCCGCCCUGGAGCAGGGAGGGCUCCGCUACCCCGAGGGGCCCUCCCCGCGGGCAGAUGAGUUCAGCAUCCAGACUCUCUGAGCUGUGUUUGGGGUCACCCCAGCACUCGAUCCUCCUGACUUUCCACCAACGACUGGAUUCAUAACCCACUCCAUACUUGAGAUCAUGGGGAUUGGAACAAGGUAUGUCCAACGUGCUGAGGGCGCAGAGUUGAAUCAGAGGAUGCGCCGUUAGUGGGGGAGAUGGACAGGUAAGCAAAUUCUCGUGCUACACUGUGACCAGUGCUACAGCAGGGUGUGUGUGUGUGCACGCACGUGUGUGUAUUACGUGUGGAUGUGGAUGUUUUAAGUAUUAUAGAAGCAUAGAGCAGAAGGGAACCAAUUCUACUUGGUUGAAAGAGUUGUCUAAUACUUGAUUAUGUUUUUAAAAUGACUGCCACAUUCCAUUGUAUGAGUUAAUUCGGUCUUCAUAAAGACCAUGUGAAGCUGUGAUCCUUUUUUGUGCAGAAGAGGAAAUGGUCUCCUAGAGGUUAGAUGAGUUCCCCAAGGUCAUGCAGCUAGUAAUAAUAAUUGCUAUCAUUUAUUGAGUGCUUCGGAUACCUGAGGCUCUCCUCUAAGUCUUAUUAAGACAUUUAAUCUUCACAACAAUUUUAUGAGGUCGUUACUGAUAUCAUCAUCUUUUUUCAAAUGAGAAAACUGAGGCACAAGAUUUAAAUAACUUGCCCAGAGUCACACAGCGAGAGUGGCUUUAGCAGGCACACGCCUACCCAUGGCACUAAACUGCCUGUAACUUGUGCCCUGAAGAGGUGGAACUCGCACUUGGGUUCUGACUCCAAGUUCAGCUUCCUUUCAAGUGACCUUGCUCUUUAGCAAUAUUGCAUCCAAAUGAAAAGCAAUGCUGUGUGCGUGGAUUCUAGGAGAGGUUGCGUAGGUUGGGCACCCACGGAAGUGCUUGGGGGGGCACGGUGGAGUCUAGAUCAUGGGGUAGUUGUGUAUGCAGGUUAGUGGGGGCAGCCAGACGUGGCCAGUUCUUCUCUAGAUCAGCAGUCUGGGCUCUGGGGACUGUGAUUUGUUACUCAUGGGAACAAGCCACCAAUACUUACCCUGCAGCUGUGUAAAACCUAGUUUACAUUUUUCUAAAAGAAGACAAGAUGUAAACCAUCGAGAAGAAAACAAGUUAAA
Long non-coding RNA from Molossus molossus (Pallas's mastiff bat), 1254 nucleotides. RefSeq lists it as uncharacterized. The record is from RefSeq and is a predicted model, not a curated record. The transcript is spliced from 3 exons. NCBI's taxonomy places the organism in Eukaryota, Metazoa, Chordata, Mammalia, Chiroptera, Molossidae.